This 220-nucleotide ribosomal RNA is filed under the name uncultured bacterium. RNAcentral describes it as "partial 16S ribosomal RNA". It matches the Rfam family "Bacterial small subunit ribosomal RNA", at positions 1282 to 1500 of the family's 1533-position model. The record is from RNAcentral.
ACCGUCUCAGUUCGGAUUGCAGGCUGCAACUCGCCUGCAUGAAGUUGGAAUUGCUAGUAAUCGCGGAUCAGCAUGCCGCGGUGAAUACGUUCCCGGGCCUUGUACACACCGCCCGUCACACCAUGAGAGUCGGGAACACCCGAAGUCCGUAGUCUAACCCACAAGGGGGGCGCGGCCGAAGGUGGGUUCGAUAAUUGGGGUGAAGUCGUAACAAGGUACC